Molecule: transfer RNA, 76 nt
Filed under: bacterium
Lineage: Bacteria
Also listed under: 2 other names
Description: tRNA-Ala
Rfam family: tRNA
About the family: Transfer RNA (tRNA) molecules are approximately 80 nucleotides in length.
Source: RNAcentral
GGGGACGUAGCUCAGCUGGGAGAGCGCCUGAAUCGCACUCAGGAGGUCGGCGGUUCGAAUCCGCUCGUCUCCACCA